Molecule: ribosomal RNA, 425 nt
Filed under: uncultured bacterium
Lineage: Bacteria
Description: partial 16S ribosomal RNA
Rfam family: Bacterial small subunit ribosomal RNA
Source: RNAcentral
GUGGGGAAUAUUGGGCAAUGGGCGAAAGCCUGACCCAGCAACGCCGCGUGAAGGAAGAAGGUCUUCGGAUCGUAAACUUCUAUCCUUGGUGAAGAUAAUGACGGUAGCCGAGAAGGAAGCCCCGGCUAACUACGUGCCAGCAGCCGCGGUAAUACGUAGGGGGCAAGCGUUGUCCGGAAUGAUUGGGCGUAAAGGGCGCGUAGGCGGCCUGGUAAGUCUGGAGUGAAAGUCCUGCUUUUAAGGUGGGAAUUGGUUUGGAUACUGUCGGGCGUGAGUGCAGGAGAGGUAAGUGGAAUUCCCGGUGUAGCGGUGAAAUGCGUAGAGAUCGGGAGGAACACCAGUGGCGAAGGCGACUUACUGGACUGUAACUGACGCUGAGGCGCGAAAGUGUGGGGAGCGAACAGGAUUAGAAACCCUUGUAGUCC